UACAGAGGUCCCAAGCGUUGUUCGGAUUCAUUGGGCGUAAAGGGUGUGUAGGCGGUUCUUUAAGUUUGGUGUGAAAUCUCCCGGCUCAACUGGGAGGGUGCGCCGAAUACUGAGGGACUAGAGUGCGGGAGAGGAAAGUGGAAUUCCUGGUGUAGCGGUGAAAUGCGUAGAUAUCAGGAGGAACACCGGUGGUGUAGACGGCUUUCUGGACCGUAACUGACGCUGAGACACGAAAGCGUGGGUAGCAAACAGG
This 253-nucleotide ribosomal RNA is filed under the name uncultured bacterium. Its description in RNAcentral is "partial 16S ribosomal RNA". It matches the Rfam family "Bacterial small subunit ribosomal RNA", at positions 524 to 776 of the family's 1533-position model. The record is from RNAcentral.